RNAcentral lists this ribosomal RNA (490 nucleotides) under uncultured bacterium. RNAcentral describes it as "partial 16S ribosomal RNA". It matches the Rfam family "Bacterial small subunit ribosomal RNA", at positions 30 to 507 of the family's 1533-position model. The record is from RNAcentral.
AUUGAACGCUGGUGGCAGGCCUAACACAUGCAAGUCGAACGGUAACAGGAAGCAGCUUGCUGCUUCGCUGACGAGUGGCGGACGGGUGAGUAAUGUCUGUGAAGCUGCCUGAUGGAGGGGGAUAACUACUGGAAACGGUAGCUAAUACCGCAUAAUGUCGCAAGACCAAAGAGGGGGACCUUCGGGCCUCUUGCCAGCGGAUGUGCCCAGAUGGGAUUAGCUUGUUGGUGGGGUAACGGCUCACCAAGGCGACGAUCCCUAGCUGGUCUGAGAGGAUGACCAGCCACACUGGAACUGAGACACGGUCCAGACUCCUACGGGAGGCAGCAGUGGGGAAUAUUGCACAAUGGGCGCAAGCCUGAUGCAGCCAUGCCGCGUGUAUGAAGAAGGCCUUCGGGUUGUAAAGUACUUUCAGCGGGGAGGAAGGGAGUAAAGUUAAUACCUUUGCUCAUUGACGUUACCCGCAGAAGAAGCACCGGCUAACUCCGUG